GACGGCCGGCGGAGCGAGCGGGCCAGCGAUCGGGUGAGCGCGCGGCCGGGGCUCUUGGGCCCGGGGCGGGGUCGGCGCGGAGCAGCGGCGGGGAGCUCGUGCGGAGAACCGGCGGGGCGGCCCGGCCCGGCCCCGCGCCCGCGCCCGCGCCCAUGACGGCGGCCGUGCUCCGGGAGGGCGUGCUGGAGAAGCGCAGUGGCGGGCUGCUGCAGUUGUGGAAGCGCAAGCGUUGCGUGCUCACCGAGCGCGGGCUGCAGCUCUUCGAGGCCAAGGGCGCGGGCGGCCGUCCCAAGGAGCUGAGUUUCGCCCGCAUCAAGGCGGUGGAGUGCGUGGAGAGCACGGGGCGCCACAUCUACUUCACGCUGGUGACCGAGGGCGGCGGCGAGAUCGACUUCCGCUGCCCGCUCGAGGACCCCGGCUGGAACGCGCAGAUCACCCUGGGCCUGGUCAAGUUCAAGAACCAGCAGGCUAUCCAGACGGUGCGCGCGCGGCAGAGCCUGGGGGCCGGGACCCUGGUGUCUUAAGCCGCGGACGGACGUCUCCGCUCCACGCGGCCCAUUGACGCAGCGCGGAGGUGGUGUCAGCCCCCUGCCUCUCCAGCUUUUGCGGGCCGACUGCCCCAUCGGGCAGGGUGGAAGCCAUGGACGCGUGGAAGAGGCGUGGGAACCUAAGCCUUGCCGGGCCUGGGAGGAGGGCAGAUGGCCACGUGGGGCUGAGGAUGAAGAUUCAGCCCUUGUAGAUGCAGACUCUCGGGAUGGACCAGCUCAGACCUUGCAGCCACCUGCCUGGCCUCCGAGAUGGUGACGGGAGCUGGCAUCACAGACCCCUCCCGCCAUGCCCUGCCAUCUGUCCUGCAGACUACUCUUGGUCCCCGGGCUUGGGCCAUGCCUGGAGGAAGGCAGACCCCCGGGGGCGCUCAGCCAGCGCCUCAGGACUCAGGAGGCCAGCCUGACGCUCAGAAGAGGAAACUCCCCACCCCAACUCCCCUCUGGAUUCACUUUGGCGGGGGUCACUGAUGGGCCUGCGGCCCACGCUUUGGGGUCGUCUGCUGCUUGGGUCCUUCUGGGACCCCCACCCAUUCAGGCCUCUCUUUGCACAGUUCUUCCCCCUCCUGCCCAUCUUCUCCCCACUGCAGUGCUAGGCCUGGAGGUGGUGGGGGUGGUCGGGGGUUCAGCCAUUACCAUUUCAUUACCAUUUCAUGCCUAUCCCAACCCGCAGCCGCUCUGCCUGCAAAGGCAGCGCUCACACUGUUCACUGAAUGAAAUUCUUUGCCCACAAAGACCUGGUGUUUGGAACAUCUGUUUCCUCACCCCCACUUUCCCAGUCUGCAUCCCACCCCUAAACUUCCAGGCUGGGGAGGGAGAGACCCUGGAGCCCAGGGGACAGGACCUCAGAGGUCCUAGGAGGGAGAGACUAUGAGACCGGGACGGGAGGUGUUGCCCUGGCCAGCUCAGUCUCCAGAGAUGCCCCUUUUGUUUUUUUAUGGCUGCACCUGCAGCACAUGGAAGUUCCCCAGCCAGGGGUCGAAUCAGAGCCGUGGCUGCAGCUGCCAGCCUACAGCGCAGCCAUGGCAACAUGGGAUCCGAGCCACAUCUGUGACUUAGGCAACACGGGAUCCUUAAUCCACUGAGCGAGGCCAGGGAUCAAACCUGCAUCCUCAUGGACCCUAUGCCGGGUCCUUAACCUGCUAGCCACAGCAGGACAUCCCAGAGAGAUGCCCCUUCGGCCUGCGCUCCUGGAGGCAGCUCUGCUUGCUGGCCAGGGCUUAUCUCUUUGCCAUUUGCACACUUGGGCUUUGUGCAUGAAUGCAGUAAGUCUUGGAGUUCCCUGGUGGCCUAGUGGUGAAGGAUCCAGGGUUAUCACGGCAGUGGUGCAGUUCUAUCUCCGGCCCCAGGAACUUUCGCAUGCUGUGGGUGUGGCCUAAAAAUAAACACUGUGUUUUCC
Molecule: long non-coding RNA, 1944 nt
Filed under: Sus scrofa (pig)
Lineage: Eukaryota; Metazoa; Chordata; Mammalia; Artiodactyla; Suidae
Description: lncRNA (multiple genes)
Source: RNAcentral